RNAcentral lists this ribosomal RNA (468 nucleotides) under uncultured bacterium. Its description in RNAcentral is "partial 16S ribosomal RNA". It matches the Rfam family "Bacterial small subunit ribosomal RNA", at positions 28 to 507 of the family's 1533-position model. The record is from RNAcentral.
GACGAACGCUGGCGGCGUGCUUAACACAUGCAAGUCGAACGGAAAGGCCCUGCUCUUGUGGGGUGCUCGAGUGGCGAACGGGUGAGUAACACGUGAGUAACCUGCCCUUGACUUUGGGAUAACUUCAGGAAACUGGGGCUAAUACCGGAUAGGAGCUCCUGCUGCAUGGUAGGGGUUGGAAAGUUUCGGCGGUUGGGGAUGGACUCGCGGCUUAUCAGCUUGUUGGUGUGGUAGUGGCUUACCAAGGCUUUGACGGGUAGCCGGCCUGAGAGGGUGACCGGCCACAUGGGGACUGAGAUAGGGCGCAGACGCCUACGGGAGGCAGCAGUGGGAAAUAUUGCACAGUGGGCGGAAGCCUGUUGCAGCAGCGCCGCGUGCGGGAUGACGGCCUUCGGGUUAUGAACCGCUUUCGCCUGUGACGAAGCGUGAGUGACGGUAAUGGGUAAAGAAGCACCGGCUAACUACGUG